GUCUCGAUGGGUUGGGGCUCGCCUCCCGCACUCCUCUUUGUCGUGUACAAAAACCAAGGUGUCGAAUUAUUGAGGGAGGCUUCAGAUCGUCCUGGGCAUGGAGAUGAGGCUGGCCAUUAAGGAUGUGGGUGAAGGUCACGUCGUUUCUUCUCCUGGCUCCAAUAUCCACUGCUGAUAUUUUGAGUUCUUUGAUCUGAGAAAGAACCAUGGGAACAAUCUUGCAAAAAUGGAGGAUAUGGAUUUGGGGCGCGAACUGUCCCGACAACGGCGGUGCUGCCUACCAACACCAUGUGCAAGACUGCCUGACUUGUCCUCUAUCUU
Molecule: long non-coding RNA, 321 nt
Organism: Triticum aestivum (bread wheat)
Lineage: Eukaryota; Viridiplantae; Streptophyta; Magnoliopsida; Poales; Poaceae
Exons: 3
Source: RefSeq, a predicted model, not a curated record